Molecule: long non-coding RNA, 1017 nt
Organism: Tachysurus vachellii
Lineage: Eukaryota; Metazoa; Chordata; Actinopteri; Siluriformes; Bagridae
Exons: 3
Source: RefSeq, a predicted model, not a curated record
GAUCACUUUGAAGAAUGUGUACGACAGUGUAAAUACACUCAGAACAUUUUCCUUAUAUAAUUCUCUUCUAAAUUUUCCUAGUUCAAAUCCUGACAAUGACCAGGAGUCCAAGAGAGAAAUGGGAAAAGUAAUGAUGCUUGAAUAUGUUUUCCAGGAUUUUUUUUCCAUCAGUGCGAGGGAGUCAAAGCGAACACUGCCAGCUGCGAAAGUGCCACCAAAACAGCUGCUUCACUUUGGGUCUUGCUAGGAUGGAGGAACGAGAAAGAAGUAGAAAAGAAAGGAGUGGAAACGCACAAAAUGUGUUCUGUGCAAAACAAAACACAAAACUUGAACGGGUACAGGUGUGAAAUAUUCGCUUUUGGAAGUCCUGAGCUUGUCCUUACAUCACACAACACAGACGCGGUACAGAGGACGAUUUAUACAGAGUAAGGAGUGGAAAGAAUGAGAAGAAUCCAGUAUGUCUUAAGGGUGUGCUUUUAAUAUACAGAAUCCUGAGUGCUGAUAUUACCUUACAUGACCUUCUGGAGUCAGGUGCGCAGAAUUCCGCUUACUUCCAUUUGACCUCUGUGUUUUGUUUUGUUUUUUAAAGCUGUGGGAUCUUCUAAUUCUCUUCAAACACUACAAUUACUGCCUGGUUUAAUUUGAUUUGUCAUUAAUAGCUGAAACCAAAAGAGCACGAAAGACAUCAGCAAAGCCGAGCCUCCUUCAGCCGAGCGUGUGUCGCCCGCCCUGGUGAUUUACACACGCUCUUCGUACAUGCACUCACGCAACACAAAGAGCCACACAUGUUCGAGGGGCCCUGCAAGAAAGAACCAGACGAUAUGAUCUCUACCAUGGAGAUUAAGAACGGCAUUGAACUUCUUGAAGAUAGCCUCGUUCGAAAACAAUGCUCUUCCUCCUUCUUGUGUAAGUUUUGAGUUGAAGAAGUGAUAUAACUACACAGAAAAAUUUUGUUCUGUAUAUAAAGUCUAAGAAGCGCUUUGCUUGCACAGCUGAUGAAGGGAUUUUCUUUGUGUA